RNAcentral lists this unclassified non-coding RNA (722 nucleotides) under Hevea brasiliensis (rubber tree). The record is from RNAcentral. Lineage: Eukaryota; Viridiplantae; Streptophyta; Magnoliopsida; Malpighiales; Euphorbiaceae.
AAUAUAUAUAUAUUUAUAUAUAUAUAUUCAAGUGGAAAAUAGUGUAUCAGUAAACAGCUACAUAAUGAGCGUAUUAUUCAUUUUCACCAAAUCUUAAUUAAGUGAGAAAUGCAACAAGGCUAAUGUCAUGACUGACAAAAUUUGAGAUAUUUGAUGUUGGAGAAGAAGUUUUUCGUGAAAGUGGAAUGUUCUCCAUUGUGAAACAUUUGGAUUACCAUCACUGGAAACAAAACAGAGAAGAGGCAUGCUAACCACAUCAAGAAUUAUGCGAUAACGUUAGAUAUUAUAGCAUAGAUAUCAACAAAUGUGACAUUCCAAUCAGCAUAUUGGCCCUUGUAGUUUUUUGCAGAAAGCAUGAAGCUGCAGAAUAAAAGGUUUAGCUGCUUGAUUAUGCCCACUGACGCAUCCAAACUCAUCAAGCAUUGAUGGAUCUGAGUCAAGCAAGCAAGAGCAAACAGCCCUGGAUUGCCAAGGACAGGUCAGAGCUGCAGAGUUUCAUUCACAAGAAAGAAGGUGUUGCUUUCUGCAGGAUGUUAGUUACCAACCACCAGAAAGAAAAAGAAAUGGUGGUUGGUCAUUAGUGUACAAUCCAAGUUUUGCUUUAAACUGUUUGAAAGAGCCAAAGGAAAAGCAAGAAAGCAACAUCAGUUUUCUUUCUGUUUGGUUAUGGAUUGUCUCUACACAUGCUUAAUUCAGAUGGAUUAAAUGGGAUGAGGCUUUAA